GUGCCAGCCGCCGCGGUAAAACGUAGGAGGCGAGCGUUAUCCGGAUUUACUGGGCGUAAAGCGCGUGCAGGCGGAGUGGAAAGUUGGAUGUGAAAGCUCCCGGCUUAACUGGGAGAGGUCGUUCAAAACUACCAAUCUAGAGGGCUAUAGAGGGAAGCGGAAUUCCGGGUGUAGUGGUGAAAUGCGUAGAUAUCCGGAGGAACACCAGUGGCGAAAGCGGCUUCCUGGGUAGCACCUGACGCUCAGACGCGAAAGCUAGGGUAGCAAACGGGAUUAGAGACCCCGGUAGUCCUAGCCGUAAACGAUGUAGACUUGGCGUAGGAGGGUUUAAAUCCUUCUGUGCCGCAGCAAACGCGAUAAGUCUACCGCCUGGGGACUACGGCCGCAAGGUUAAA
This 395-nucleotide ribosomal RNA is filed under the name uncultured bacterium. RNAcentral's name for it is "bacterial SSU rRNA". It matches the Rfam family "Bacterial small subunit ribosomal RNA", at positions 505 to 898 of the family's 1533-position model. The record is from RNAcentral.